CCUACGGGAGGCAGCAGUGAGGAAUAUUGGUCAAUGGGCGCGAGCCUGAACCAGCCAAGUAGCGUGAAGGAUGACUGCCCUAUGGGUUGUAAACUUCUUUUAUAUGGGAAUAAAGUGUGCCACGUGUGGCUUUUUGUAUGUACUAUAUGAAUAAGGAUCGGCUAACUCCGUGCCAGCAGCCGCGGUAAUACGGAGGAUCCGAGCGUUAUCCGGAUUUAUUGGGUUUAAAGGGAGCGUAGAUGGGUUGUUAAGUCAGUUGUGAAAGUUUGCGGCUCAACCGUAAAAUUGCAGUUGAAACUGGCAGUCUUGAGUACAGUAGAGGUAGGCGGAAUUCGUGGUGUAGCGGUGAAAUGCUUAGAUAUCACGAAGAACUCCGAUUGCGAAGGCAGCUUACUGGACUGCAACUGACAUUGAGGCUCGAAAGUGUGGGUAUCAAACAGGAUUAGAUACCCUUGUAGUC
This 460-nucleotide ribosomal RNA is filed under the name uncultured bacterium. RNAcentral's name for it is "partial 16S ribosomal RNA". It matches the Rfam family "Bacterial small subunit ribosomal RNA", at positions 338 to 795 of the family's 1533-position model. The record is from RNAcentral.